RNAcentral lists this ribosomal RNA (433 nucleotides) under uncultured Oscillospiraceae bacterium. RNAcentral's name for it is "partial 16S ribosomal RNA". It matches the Rfam family "Bacterial small subunit ribosomal RNA", at positions 341 to 792 of the family's 1533-position model. Lineage: Bacteria; Bacillati; Bacillota; Clostridia; Eubacteriales; Oscillospiraceae. The record is from RNAcentral.
ACGGAAGGCAGCAGUGGGGGAUAUUGCACAAUGGAGGGAACUCUGAUGCAGCGACGCCGCGUGUGGGAAGACGGUCUUCGGAUUGUAAACCACUGGCUUUGGGGACGAUAAUGACGGUACCCAUGGAGGAAGCUCCGGCUAACUACGUGCUAGCAGCCGCGGUAAUACGUAGGGAGCGAGCGUUGUCCGGAAUUACUGGGUGUAAAGGGAGCGUAGGCGGAAUGACAAGUUGGAUGUUAAAUAUAUCGGCUUAACUGGUAUCUGCAUUCAAAACUGCCGUUCUUGAGUGAAGUAGAGAUUGGUGGAAUUCCUAGUGUAGCGGUGAAAUGCGUAGAUAUUAGGAGGAACAUCGGUGGCGAAGGCAACCAACUGGGCUUUUACUGACGCUGAGGCUCGAAAGCGUGGGGAGCAAACAGGAUUAGAUACCCUGGUA